This is a small nuclear RNA of Callithrix jacchus (white-tufted-ear marmoset), 168 nucleotides long. Its record names the gene U1. It matches the Rfam family "U1 spliceosomal RNA". Rfam says of the family: U1 is a small nuclear RNA (snRNA) component of the spliceosome (involved in pre-mRNA splicing). Its 5' end forms complementary base pairs with the 5' splice junction, thus defining the 5' donor site of an intron. NCBI's taxonomy places the organism in Eukaryota, Metazoa, Chordata, Mammalia, Primates, Cebidae. The record is from Ensembl.
GUACUUAUCUGUCAGGAGAGAUACCAUGAUCACGAAGGUGGUUUUCCCAGGGCCAGGCUUAUGCGUUGCACUCCUCAGGGUUAUGCUGAUCCCUGCGUUUUCCCCAAAUGGAGAAAACCCGACUGUAGAGUUUGUGAUAGUGGGGGACUACAUUGAAGCUUUCCCCUG